CCUACGGGAGGCAGCAGUGAGGAAUAUUGGUCAAUGGGCGAGAGCCUGAACCAGCCACGUAGCGUGAAGGAUGACUGCCCUACGGGUUGUAAACUUCUUUUAUAAAGGAGUAAAGUGAUGCACGUGUGCCUUUUUGUAUGUACUUUAUGAAUAAGGAUCGGCUAACUCCGUUCCAGCAGCCGCGGUACUACGGAGGAUCGGAGCGUUAUCCGGAUUUAUUUGGUUUAAAGGGAGAGUAGACGGGUUGUUAAGUCAGUUGUGAAAGCUUGCGGCUCAACCGUAAAAUUGCAAUUGAUACUGGCAGCCUUGAGUACAGUAGAGGUAGGCGGAAUUCGUGGUGUAGCGGUGAAAUGCUUAGAUAUCACGAAGAACUCCGAUUGCGAAGGCAGCUUACUAGACUGCCACUGACACUGAUGCUCGAAAGUGUGGGUAUCAAACAGGAUUAGAUACCCCAGUAGUC
This 460-nucleotide ribosomal RNA is filed under the name uncultured bacterium. Its description in RNAcentral is "partial 16S ribosomal RNA". It matches the Rfam family "Bacterial small subunit ribosomal RNA", at positions 338 to 795 of the family's 1533-position model. The record is from RNAcentral.